Molecule: long non-coding RNA, 7604 nt
Filed under: Solanum tuberosum (potato)
Lineage: Eukaryota; Viridiplantae; Streptophyta; Magnoliopsida; Solanales; Solanaceae
Description: long non-coding RNA (STUB_LNC003277)
Source: RNAcentral
CGGCAUUUGUUAUUAUCUAAAUAAAUGAAAAAAUCUUGAUCCUCAUAUGAAAAAGUUUUUCUCACAUUUUACUCGUGGCAUUUGAAUCUGGCAUGCCAAUUUAAAAAUAAUGAUUGACAUUGUAAUUUACAGAUGAUUUGGAGAAUAAAUAAUUAAUGGUUUUAAGAGUGUGUCUAACCAGUUGUGUGACAUCUCUGUGAACAUGUGGAGGGACCAAAGCAAGCAUGGGAGGUGGAGCGAAGCUAAUGCUCAUAUGGAAAUGGCCUUUGAUCCUGCUUUUGCCUCCUUUUCUUCUAUCUGGGUAAAGUACACCUUCCAUGCUAAGACGGAAUUCUGAUGGCUUGUUUUUCCCCUCUGUUACUCCUUCUAGAUCCCAUUUUGUCUGCAUCAUAUAUAUAUAUAUGCUUCAACUUAAUCAAUACUAUAUAUAUAUAUAUAUAUAUCCUUAAUUAAUUUUUUAAGUAUGUGCACAUCAUACAAUUUUGAACUCAAGAACCAUAGAGGUAUGGGUAGGAACGCCAGAAGGGUAUUCUUUCCCAUUAGUUUUGCAUCUAAGUCUCAUGUUAACAACUGGGCAUGCUGUGAGGAACAAGAAGCCAAUCGGUUCCAUUCGGAUUCUCCAUUCUUCCUGCACCAACAUACAUAUAAUUAAUUAUUCAAUUACACAUUAUUAUACUAAAAUAGUAGUAGUUAAUUAAUUACCUCGUUAAGACGUUGGGUUCCUCUGUUAUCUGGGGAAAUAGCUUUGAAGACUCUUGGUUUGUCCUCCAAGUACCUAUCGAAAGAUGCCUGUGUACAUAAAAGCGUAAUUAAUUAACAACAUAUAUUAUAAAAACAGAGAGUGUAGUGUAUGUGAAUUGUGAACGUACAUGAGGGGAUUCAAAGAGGGGCAUGUCAGAUACAAUGGUGAUUUGUGAAUCAUAACUCUGUUGAUGAGCCUUAAUGGGAUGGUAUUUUGUACGGAAUUUCUGCUUUGAUGGACUCAACACUAGUACUAUAUUUCUCUCGAAGAAUUGAAAGCCUCUGCUUCUUAUUCUGCCAGGCUGCAACGUCGCACAAAUUAAGGGAACUGUCACUGCCACAACACUUGGGUUCAUGAUUGACUAGCUGAUAAUUCGAUCUAUUUCUUUACCUCUUUCAAGUUUUUGGAGCUAAAUCACUACUCUUUUUUCUUUUUUUUUGCAAUGGAAUUAAUUCUCUGCCUGAAAGUUGGGACAUUACACCUUAUAUUCUUACUCUGUCCCAUUUUAUAUUAGAUAGUUUGAUUCCCGAGUUUAAAAAGAAGAAAAAACUUUAAAAACUUGUGAUCCAAAAUGAAUGAUAGAAAUUUGUGUAAUUAUAAAUCAUUUAAUUAAGUAUAAAAUGUACAUUUUAAAAUUAAAUUAUCACUUAAUAUAAAAAUAUAUCAUUUUUUUUUAAUUGACUAAAAAUGAAAGUAAGUCAUAAAUUUUAAUAUAUCAUAUUCAAAACCCAAAUCAUUUUCAUUUCAUUACUGACUUCAGUACUUGGAGUAACUGGACCUACCAUGUUUCUUUUGGAGUACACAUUUCCAACGUUAUUCCAUCAAUAAUUGUUAGAUAUUUUAUUCUUUAUAUAUAUAUUUUUUUCCGGAUAAAUAUAAAAUGGUAAUUUAUGUAUUUUUCUUUAAAAAUAUCUUUGAAAACUGUCUUCAUCGUGUAUCAUCAUCCGCAGUGUAAUUUGUACGGCACGUGUUUGGUGUUAAUCAAUAAGACUAUAUAAAAAUAAAAUUAUUAAAAAAUAGUAAUUGACUUUAAAAUAAAUGUUAUAUUUAUUUAAAUAAAUAUUAUAUCUCAAAUAUGUUAUUGUGUGUCGUAUCUCGCCUCAUAUUUCUUUACAAAUAAUUUGUUAUAUUUUUCUGGUCACUUUAGCUAUUUUAUCAUAAAAAAUAAUAAUUGUUGUAGACAUUUAUAAUUUUCAUUAAAAAGAAACAAAAAUAUUUUAAACCUUCUUGCUGAAAUUCGAAACAAAAAAAUAAUAAUCUCAAACAAAAUAGAAUACUAUGAAAUGAAAAGAAAUAAAACACAAAAAUAUUAAAGAAGGGUUCAAUGGAGCAUGACUAAAGUAGAAAGAAAUCUAUAUCUAUAUCUAUAUAUAAUAUAAAGCUAGAUAAAAGAUCUCUUUGGCCAAGAAUCCUAUUUAUCUUUUUUUUUCUCAUUUUUUUGACAUUUUAUUUAUUUAUUUAUUGUUUAUUAUUAUUUUACAAAUAUGAAUGUGGCAAUUACUAUUCCUUUCAUUUAUUCAUAUUCUUUAAUAUAAACUUUAAUUGUCUUUAUUUUCAUUACUCUCAUGACUUUUCAUGAUCAUAACUCCUAAAUUUUAUUACUAAUAGUCAUGUUCAUGAUUUCAUUUGGUAUUCCCUAUUGUUAUCCUAUAAAUAGAGGCAUUAUAAAUUUUUCUUACAAAAUAAACGAUCAAAUCUAUAUAGUAUAUAGAUGUGUGUAAAGCUCUCAAAUUUGUGGUAAAGGUGCUUUAAGAUGAUCAAGCUAAAAGAAAGGCACAUAUAUUCUAUACUUUUUUCUUCUUCUUUUCGAUCAUCAUAAUACUAUUUUGAGUUUGAUAUUUAUUUGAUUUGAUUUGAUUAUAGGUAGACAUCUACAGAAAAUACAAAGAAAACAGAUGGGUUGAUGAUAAGAAAUUGUAAACAAUUCUUCUCAAACUCUCUUUUAUAUUUAUUUUUAUUUUUCUUUUUCUUUGUGUGUUUGACUAAAGAAGUUAUACUCAUUGAUCAUAAAUUUUGCUAAGUAACAAAUAUAUGAGGUAUUCAAUUAUACUCUUACUUUAAUGUUAAUUAUUUUUAAAGAAUUUCUUUAUUUUGCAGCAUUUGGAGAAUGGAGGGGGAGGGGAGAUAGAAAAGUGAAAUUUUAUCAGAUGGGUCAAAGAUAAAAAUUGUAAGCAAUUCUUCUCAAAUUUUCGUUUAUAUUUAUAUCCCCUUUUCUUAAUAUGUUUGAGUAUAGAAGUUAUACUCAAUUGAUCAUAAAUUUUGCUAAGUGAUAAACAUAAUUAUUCUCUUACUUUAUUGUUCUAAGUUUCUUUUUUUUUAUAAAGAAUAUAUGUAUUUUGCAGUAUUUGGAAAAGUGAAGGAGCGGGGGGCGGGGGCAGGGGGGAGUGAAAUUUUAUGAUAAAAUUAAAUUCUGAACUUAAAUAAAUUCAAUUGAAAUUACAAUUCAUAACUGUAAAAAUAAUAUUGUUUCAUCAUUUUAUAGGUAUAGAUACCCUGAUAUACGAGGUGAAGAAAAUGGAAAGGUGAAACAACUGAUUUAAGAUUAAGAGCAAGGAAAUGAAAAAUAUAUUAAUUCAAAACUUUCGGUAAAAUUGAAUGCUUAACUAUAAGAAUAAUAUUUUUAUUUCUAAAUAGUCAUUUUGUGAUAAUAAUUUUAUUGCCUCGAUGUUACUCUAAAUCUCGAUAAUUUUGUAUUUUUUCUUUUAAUUUUGUUAAUUGAGAGGUAAAUAUCGCUCCCAUGAGUUGUAGUACUUUAGAUUUUGAUAUAUUUGGAUUGUAAAUUUAUAAAAAAUGAUUGUUAAUUUUAUGUGUGAUAAUUAUUUGAAUUUUAUCUUCUUUAUUUUUGUUCCACAUAAAUACACUGGAUAUGAAUCUAACAAACAAGUGAUAUGCUUUUUUUUCCUAUUAUUAUUUUUCAAUUAAAUACAUGAAAUUUAUAAAUAUUAUAAAGCUAAAUAUAGAGAAGUAAUGUGCCAACUCUUUAUAACUUCCAAUUGCAUUAUUUGUUUUCUCUUCUUCUUAGCAUUUUAUUCUCCUAUUUCAUUAUAUAAUAAUACAAUAAUCUCUACUUAAUAUUAUUUUUCUUAAUUAUUUUAAUUAAAAAAUCAUCUUCAUAACUCAUGUCAUUUUUUUUAAAAAUAUUUUAUUAUAAUAAUAUUUAUUAAUUUUUUGACUUUAACUCACAUUAACCUCCAAUUGCAUUAUUUGUUUUCUCUUCUUCUUGGCGUUUUCUUCUCCCAUUUCAUUAUGUAAUAAUAAUAAUAAUAAUAAUAAUAAUAAUAAUAAUAAUAAUAAUAAUAAUAAUAAUAAUAAUAAUAAUAAUAAUAAUAAUAAUAAUAAUAAUAAUAAUAAUAAUAAUAAUAAUAAUAAUAAUAAUAAUAAUAAUAAUAAUAAUAAUAAUAAUAAUAAUAAUAAUAAUAAUAAUAAUAAUAAUAAUAAUAAUAAUAAUAAUAAUAAUAAUAAUAAUAAUAAUAAUAAUAAUAAUAAUAAUAAUAAUAAUAAUAAUAAUAAUAAUAAUAAUAAUAAUAAUAAUAAUAAUAAUAAUAAUAAUAAUAAUAAUCUCUAUUUAGUAUUAUUUUAAUUAAAAAAUCAUCUUCAUAACUCAUAUCACCUUUUAAAAACAACUUCUAUUAUAAUAUCAUUAAUUUUGUGGCAUUAACUCACGGUUUCAUCACUCAUGCUCUUAAUAUUCUCCAUUACUCAUAUGUUUUUUCAAGUUUAUAACCCUCAAUAAUAUUUUACUUAUAAAUUUUGACACUUAUCAUAAUUUUCUCAUUAUGAAUUCUUAUAUGAUCUCAAAUAAAAAUGAUAUGACACAUCUUAUAAUUCAAGAAGUUUAUUUAUAAUUUUUCUCAUUUUUUGUGAUAUUUUUCUUAAUUUUUUCAUGUAUAUGCUAUAAUAUUAUAAAAACUCAAAACUCACUUCCUUAACUCUCUUAAGUAUAUAAUAAAUGUGCCUAUGUUAAAGUUGUGGAAACAUAAAGAGGUGUUACAUUGAUUUUUCCCCCCAGUUUUUUAGAAGUAAUAUUUAAUUAUUUAUUGCUUUAAUAAAAGAAGAAAAUUAAAGAUUAUAAUAGACCAUAAAGGGUCAUCAUAUACAAUAUUUCAAUUUUUCUAUAAAAGAAAAGACAUUCUAUAAUCUGAAAUAGUUGUAUAAGUAGUUUAUUUAAUUUACAAAAUUAAAAUUUAUAUGUGUACAUAUGAAAAUUUUAUAUACUUGAUUAUCUAAAUUUAUAAAAUAUUCUUUAAAAAAUUUACUAAUAACUUUCAUAAUCGCGCGAAGUGUGAACAAAUUUACUAGUUUUUAAAUAAGAGAGAAGGCGAGCUAAAUUGUACUAGUUGGUUAAGAUUAAUCGUUUCCGUUACACUCUGUUCCGCCUCGUUAUCUUUGCAAUUUUCACGAUUUCUUAUUUUUUUAUAUUUUGAAUUUUUUUACUAAAAUUCUUAUCUCCGCCGCUGAAUAAACGUAUGAAUAUUUUGGUACAAUGAUUGCCAUGGGAUAAGAUAACCAAUGUGAUUUAGCUAUCCCACUCUUUAAAUGAGAUAGUUAGAGCAUGUUUGACAUUGCUGCUAAAAAUUGCUUAUUUUUUGAAGCACUUUUUUAAAAAUGACUUUUUAAAAAAGUGUUUUUGAAAAAAAGUAAUUUGUGUUUGGCUAAUUCAUUUGAAAAGUGCUUUGAUAAGCAAAUCGUGUUUGACUAAAUCUUUUUUAAGAAAAUAAUUUGAGAGUCAAAUUACGAAAAAUGGUAAGUAUCAAUGUACUUUUAAUACUACGAUUAUUUUAUAGAGAGAAACUAUUUUAAAUAUCUAUUAGAAUUUUUUAAUGAAAAUAUGCAUAUUCAAAUUUUCAAUCAAUAUUAUACAUAAAUAAAUAAAUUAAAUAUUAAUAUAAUAUUAACAUGAUGAAUUAAAUAUAAUUCAAAAUAUCAAGAAAAAUAAAUUUAAAAACUAUUCCACAAAUUAAACCGCUAUAUACAAAAAAUUCACCACAAAAAUAAAUAAAAUUCUUCAUAUUUUUAACCCUACAAAAAUGUUGUUUAUUUUUUAUUCUAUAAAAUAAGACGUAAAAUAAUAUAUAAAAUAUAAAAUAAUAAUAGUAUAUAAACAUAAAAUAAAAAAAUAUUAUAUAAAAAUAAAAAAUAAAAAAUAAAAUUUUUGUAUGAAACUAACCAAAUUUAUGAUAUAUGUUAAUUAAUUAAUAAGGGAUAUAUUGUUAAAUAUAUAUAGGAGAGAUAUUUAGUCUUCAAGAAAAUAAUUUUCUGGUUUCGCUUCUACUUUUUUUAAGAAGCAGAAAUUUUUAACUUCUUCCCAACCGCAGAAAAACUGCUUUUGCUUCCAUUUAAAAGCAGUUUUGAGAAUUUGCCAAACACUAUUUUUUCAAAAAAAGUACUUUUAUCGGAAAAAAGAAGAAGCACUUUUGACCUCCCAACAACAAUGCCAAAUAGGCUCUUAAUCUCACCAUUUAAUGUAAAAAUAAUUCUAAAAAUAAGUAAUAUCUCAAAUCCAACAUAAAAUAAAAUUAAUCUCAAAUAACAUUUCAAAAUUAUUAUUAACCUUAUCAAAUGUAUCAAACAAAUCAAGAAAUAUGAAGUACUCUAUGUGUACGAAAUUUGAUCAUUUUGGGCCUAAUUUUCAAAAUAGUUGAAUAGUUUGGAUUUUUUUGUCUAAAUAUUUGAACUAGAGAGGAAGUUGUGUAUUAAAUUCAAAGGCGGACCCACGUGUGAUGUUGAGGGUGCACAUGUACCUAUUAACUUUGAAAAAUUACGUAUAUAUAUACCUUGAGAUAGACAUAUAUUUUAUUAAGUACCCAAAGAUUACUAAAGUCAAUUUGGCUUGCGUGAAGCUUAAAAAUAAGAAAAUACAUAAUUACCCCAUCAAACUUAUACCCUUUUUUGAAAUAGACACCUUAAAUUUGUGGGGGUCCUAUUACCCCUCAAAACUAUUUUUAACCAUCAAACUAUGUUUUAAAACUAGCAAACUUAUGCGUUUUCUAGAAAAUGACUUUUGAUUUAUUUUAAUUUUAAAAUAUUUAACUUGCAAACAUUUUUAUAUUUGCUUAACACCAAAAUAAGUUUUAAGCUUAUUUUAUUGUAUUUUUUAAGUCAAUCCAAAAAUCCUCACAAUUCGAUAAAGACAUUUAAUUAGUACUUUAGUAGUAGGGCUUUCCCUUUGUUUUUUCUUUGUUUGUUUUGUAUAUCCCCUUCCCCUUGAAAAUUAAUUCAGCAAAGAGAUUCCCGAAAAAGAAACAUAAAAAUAAAAAAAGGGGGAGAAUUAUAAGUAGUAAUCUUAUUUGGCUGUUGCGUACACGAGAUCACUAUUAUUAACAGAGGAGUAUUUGUCCUGAUUUUGAUUAGUUGAACAAAUACAAAAGGCCACGCAAUUAACUACACACAAAGAAAAUUCACACUAGUGAACCAUAGUUUUCCAGUAUGGAAAAAGAAAAAUGAAGAGUUCUUCUGGUUUUUGAUUAAAUGAUAAGUCAGUCUUACAGUUAUGGAUUUUUGGGGGUUUCCUUCUUGAAUUUAGCAUAAUCAGCGAGCAAAUUGUUUCUUACUUUAUGCUGCAUACUCUCCGCCAUAUUCUUCAUAACCUGUUAAUUACCCCACAUAAAUAAAAAGUUUUUUUUAAUAAGAAAAUGUGUCAUAUAAAUUGAGAAACUAACUAACCGCUUGUGUGACAUCUCUGUGAACAUGUGGAGGGACCAAAGCAAGCAUGGGAGGUGGAGCGAAGCUAAUGCUCAUAUGGAAAUGACCUUUGAUCCUGCUUCUUCCUCCUUUUCUUCUAUCUGGGUAAAGUACACCUUCCAUGCUAAGACGGAAUUCUGAUGGCUUGUUUUUCCCCUCUGUUACUCCUUCUAGAUCCCAU